ACUGCAGAGACAGAAGGAGAGACACACCUGAGACGAUCUCACACAGCCAGAGGAGCCCUCCAGCACCACAGACUCACACAGACCGGCCAUCAUGUCCGCCGCUGGAGCUCCCGAGUACGACCCUGAUGCAGAAUUUGUGUAUGGCAACAAAAUCCGCCAGUGUGGAAAGCCCCGGGUGAGUGUCCUGAUAUCAGACAAUGGAAUACAAAAAGAUGAGAUACAGGCUACAUCCUGAAUGAGAGGCAGUCCACAUCCAUCCGUCAUUGGUCAAGAAAUGAAAAUGUGGAAUAUAUAGGAUGUAAAUAUAUAAAUGGCAUUGUAACGGUCACUAUUUUUUAACAAGAGAAUAUUCUGUGAAUUCUAUUGUGAAUGUCCUGCCCUUCUGCCAUGUGUGUUCUAUCAAAGAAAGAUUGAAGAGGUUCACUUACCGUAGAGGACGGCUGGGCACUUGUAUGUUGUUGACUGUAAUUGUGUGAGACUGCCUUCCUUUUGUAUUGAUAAACUGUAGACCCAC
Molecule: long non-coding RNA, 514 nt
Organism: Oncorhynchus gorbuscha (pink salmon)
Lineage: Eukaryota; Metazoa; Chordata; Actinopteri; Salmoniformes; Salmonidae
Exons: 4
Source: RefSeq, a predicted model, not a curated record